GCUUGGCCGCGGGGCCGAGUCCGCGGGGCUGC
Molecule: non-coding RNA, 32 nt
Filed under: Homo sapiens (human)
Lineage: Eukaryota; Metazoa; Chordata; Mammalia; Primates; Hominidae
Source: RNAcentral